GUAUAAGACUUUACCAAAUGAUUGUAUGCUAUGCAGCCCGAACCAGAUCGAGCUACUCGACAAACAGUUUUACCAUAGAUACUAACUCAUCUAUGGUGGGCAAAUAGUGAGAAGAUUUGUAAGUAAGAGGUGACAUGCCUACGAGCCUGGUGAUAGCUGGUUGUCCAGGAAAUGAAUCUAAGUUCAGCUUUAAAGAUACCGAAUUCAAAUAAACCCCACUGUAGCUUUAAAAGUUAGUCUAAAAAGGUACAGCCUUUUAGAAACGGAUACAACCUUGACUAGAGAGUAAAAUUUAACAGCUACCAUAGUAGGCCUAAAAGCAGCCAUCAAUUAAGAAAGCGUUAAAGCUCAACAACGAAAUUAAAUAGAUUCCACACAAAUGAUUAACUUCUAGCCCCAAUACUGGACUAAUCUAUUAUAGAAUAGAAGCAAUAAUGUUAAUAUGAGUAACAAGAAAAAUUUUCUCCUUGCAUAAGUCUAAGUCAGUGCCUGAUAAUACUCUGACCACUAACAGUCAAUAAAAAUAAUCCAACAAUAAACAAUUUAUUGAUUAUACUGUUAACCCAACACAGGAGUGCAUCUAAGGAAAGAUU
This 593-nucleotide ribosomal RNA is filed under the name Bos taurus (domestic cattle). RNAcentral's name for it is "similar to 16S ribosomal RNA". Lineage: Eukaryota; Metazoa; Chordata; Mammalia; Artiodactyla; Bovidae. The record is from RNAcentral.